RNAcentral lists this ribosomal RNA (323 nucleotides) under uncultured Bacillota bacterium. RNAcentral's name for it is "bacterial SSU rRNA". It matches the Rfam family "Bacterial small subunit ribosomal RNA", at positions 28 to 351 of the family's 1533-position model. The record is from RNAcentral. Lineage: Bacteria; Bacillati; Bacillota.
GAUGAACGCUGGCGGCGUGCCUAACACAUGCAAGUCGAACGGAGACAAAAGUUUACUUUUGUCUUAGUGGCGGACGGGUGAGUAACGCGUGAGCAAUCUGCCCUUCGGAGGGGGGACAACAGCUGGAAACGGCUGCUAAUACCGCAUAAUGUAUAUUAACGGCAUCGUUGAUAUACCAAAGAUUCAUCGCCGAAGGAUGAGCUCGCGUCUGAUUAGCUAGUUGGUAGGGUAAUGGCCUACCAAGGCUUCGAUCAGUAGCCGGACUGAGAGGUUGAACGGCCACAUUGGGACUGAGAUACGGCCCAGACUCCUACGGGAGGCAG